Non-coding RNA from Aegilops tauschii subsp. strangulata, 2273 nucleotides. The record is from RefSeq and is a predicted model, not a curated record. Lineage: Eukaryota; Viridiplantae; Streptophyta; Magnoliopsida; Poales; Poaceae.
GUCAUGCCCAGGCUCAUGACCCACAGCCGGAGCUUCGUCGCCAACAGGGGCGACCCUCCUCCGCCGUCGAACAAGAUCCCCAAGAGCCCCUUCCCACCUGAGAAGAUCUCGAUGAGCUUCACGUCCGUGUGGAUCAUGAGCAGGAUGGCCAGGAAGGAGGAGCCCUCCUCGCCGGUCUCCGACGACAACGACGACGUUGGCAGCACAGCCAUGUCCUCCAAGCGGCGCCCCUUGUCGGUCGCUCGGGUGCCGUGCCGGGAAAGCUCAAUGCUCUCGGGAAGCCAUGGAGCAGAGGGAGCAGGCGCAGAAGGUGGCGCUUGAGGCCUUGCGCAACGCGUCGGCGAUGGAGAACAUAGUUAGGAUCUACAAGUAUGUCCAGCAAUGGCACCUCUUUUUCCUAUGGCAAUUUGACACCGUCUGGACAGAGUGGCUUGUCUGCUUGAGCCCGCAUACUACGACGGCCAACUUGCUCGGUGCACACGUCGGUUGGUCCCAGGUCAGGCCCCUCUAGAUCCCACUUGGAAGCUGCAGUACUGGAUGGAUGAGAACUACGCUUACAAUUGCGAGCACUGCAAGGUAUGCAUGUGUCCCUCUUCCACGGAUGUCAACAUGUCGUUUUUUAUAAGUUUUAGACACAGUCUGAUCUAUGUACUUUGUCCCUUUUUCCUUAGCAAACAAUGCAUUCUGCGAUAAUGAGCAUAUAGUGUCGAACUAUUAUUAUAACAUUGCAGUUUUGUUCGAGUCCAAGUUCCCGACCAUCAUCUCACAUAUAGUGUUCUCAAAUUAGAUCGAUAGUAAUGCAAAUUUAUGCUAGAAUGUGCAACAAAACUAUCUUGUUUGUAUCUGUUAACUGUUGAAUCCCCAAGAUGAAUGCCCGUACAAGAAGCUUGUCAAUCCUAAAUUCUUUCUUAGUAAACAUAUUUGAUCACAUAGUUUUCUUUUUUUGUGAAUUCCGAACAUACUACUUGGAGGAAGGAGGGGGCGGCACAGAGAGGGUCCUCACACAGUCCAGUGAUCGACCACGACGACGCGGCCGUGCGGUGGGUACCCACGGACGCCGCUCUGCCGGGUCGGAGGAGGAGUCCAGAUCCGGCACCUCACCAAGGUCGGCGCUGCACGGUGAGUGCAACUGCCUUGAGAAACCCGGCCCGGCCAUCUUCUCCCCCGAGUUGCUGCCACGGCGAACCCUAUAGGCGCCUCUGCGCCCCAGUCAAGUCUCAUGUGUGCGUUGAUUUAGGAGGAGUGUACUGUUGAGAUCAAUGUCGGGAUCCGCAAGUUUCUAUUGCGUAGCAUCAGAUUAAUAUUGCCAAGCAUGAGCUGGCGGGGCAUAUGGAAGAUAUCCCAUGGGCCAGCAGCUGGAGCCUGGAAGCGGAUGUUAAUGCUCCAUAGCAGAGAGUUUAGGUUUACAGCAAACAGCGACUACCAAAUUUUCCAUGUAGGAUAUAAACGGAGAUUGUCAUGGAGAUGGUUGCCAUCAGUUCCAUUUUGUUGCACAUCACAAGCCUGCCAUUUUAGGUUGAUAUAUGUUUUCAAUAUCUUUACCUCUACUAUUUCAAGAAUGUGUGAUGUGUCACUAGCUUAUUCCAUUCUUGCAUUGUAGUACCUUGAGGUCUGACUCAUGCAUGCAGAUGGGGAGAUGCAUUCAUGUGCUUGCUGUUGCGUGCCAGUAGCUUCGUUCAGUUGCUUCAGUGGGAUAAAGUUACUCGAUGUGGAUUUUGUUCUGUAAACGUUCAACAAAUUUGCCAGCGAGUAGUUUGACACAUACGAGCAUGAGGUUCUUCUGGUGUACUUUUGCGGCUGUACUUUUGUUAAUUGAAAGUGGAAUUACCCCAAUUGAUAACCAAAUUUUGUGCUCACUGCCGACAUGGGGUUGAUGAUGACGUCCCAGAGCCCUUGCCUCUGCUUGAUGCUGCGUCGAGCAAGAUGAAGCCAUCAGAUACGUGUGGUGUGUAGAGUCCGUUCUAAUCAAUGGAAAGGAAGUGGAGGAAGGGAAAUUGCCUACAGAGUUAUUUACAUUUCAACCUGAUCACAAGGCCAUUAGAGAUUGGACUAUUCCACUCGGUCCGAACUACAUUAGGUCAAUUGUACAUUUUAUUUCAAGUUACGAAGAAUACGAGCUGAGAACAUAUAGGAGCUCUAUGUGGUUUAAAUAUUUUUAGACGAAGUUUGAUGUACUUCUCAUGAAUAUCUUCGUAAACAGAAAUAAUGGUAAACCAUGCACUGCUACAUUAUGUUUCACCAGAAUCACUCUUUAUAAUAUCUUGUUGCUUUCA